CACCCAUGUCUUUUGCGCACUUGUUGUUUCCUGGGCGGGUUUGCCCGCCACCAGGACCAAACCAUAAACCUUUUUUUUUAUGCAGUUACCAUCAGCGUCAGUAAAAACAAUGUAAUUAAUUACAACUUUCAACAACGGAUCUCUUGGUUCUGGCAUCGAUGAAGAACGCAGCGAAAUGCGAUACGUAGUGUGAAUUGCAGAAUUCAGUGAAUCAUCGAAUCUUUGAACGCACAUUGCGCCCUUUGGUAUUCCAAAGGGCAUGCCUGUUCGAGCGUCAUUUGUACCUUCAAGCUUUGCUUGGUGUUGGGCGUUUUUGUCUCCCUCUUUCUGGGAGACUCGCCUUAAAACGAUUGGCAGCCGGCCUACUGGUUUCGGAGCGCAGCACAUAAUUUGCGCUUUGUAUCAGGAGAAAAGGACGGUAAUCCAUCAAGACUCUAGAUUUUUAACUUUUGACCUCGGAUCAGGUAGGGAUACCCGCUGAACUUAAGCAUAUCAU
Molecule: ribosomal RNA, 496 nt
Filed under: Bipolaris zeicola
Lineage: Eukaryota; Fungi; Ascomycota; Dothideomycetes; Pleosporales; Pleosporaceae
Description: eukaryotic LSU rRNA
Rfam family: 5.8S ribosomal RNA (bases 124-277)
Source: RNAcentral